AUUGAACGCUGGCGGCAUGCUUUUCACAUGCAAGUCGAACGGUAACAGGCCUUCGGGUGCUGACGAGUGGCGAACGGGUGAGUAAUGCAUCGGAACGUACCCAGAGGUGGGGGAUAACGCAGCGAAAGCUGUGCUAAUACCGCAUGUGAUCUGAGGAUGAAAGCGGGGGACCGAGCAGCAAUGUUUGGCCUCGCGCCUUUGGAGCGGCCGAUGUCGGAUUAGCUAGUUGGUGGGGUAAAGGCCUACCAAGGCGACGAUCCGUAGCUGGUCUGAGAGGACGACCAGCCACACUGGGACUGAGACACGGCCCAGACUCCUACGGGAGGCAGCAGUGGGGAAUUUUGGACAAUGGGCGCAAGCCUGAUCCAGCAAUGCCGCGUGCGGGAAGAAGGCCUUCGGGUUGUAAACCGCUUUUGUCAGGAACGAAACGGUGUCCGCUAAUACCGGGCGCUAAUGACGGUACCUGCAGAAUAAGCACCGGCUAACUACGUG
This 492-nucleotide ribosomal RNA is filed under the name uncultured bacterium. Its description in RNAcentral is "partial 16S ribosomal RNA". It matches the Rfam family "Bacterial small subunit ribosomal RNA", at positions 30 to 507 of the family's 1533-position model. The record is from RNAcentral.